CGGAAAGGCUCCUUCGGGAGUACUCGAGCGGCGAACGGGUGAGUAACACGUGAGUAAUCUGCCCUGGACUCUGGGAUAGCCACCGGAAACGGUGAUUAAUACCGGAUAUGACCACUCUAGGCAUCUAGCGGUGGUGGAAAGUUUUUCGGUCCAGGAUGUGCUCGCGGCCUAUCAGCUUGUUGGUGAGGUAAUGGCUCACCAAGGCUUUGACGGGUAGCCGGCCUGAGAGGGUGACCGCUCACACUGGGACUGAGACACGGCCCAGACUC
RNAcentral lists this ribosomal RNA (269 nucleotides) under uncultured bacterium. Its description in RNAcentral is "partial 16S ribosomal RNA". It matches the Rfam family "Bacterial small subunit ribosomal RNA", at positions 67 to 338 of the family's 1533-position model. The record is from RNAcentral.